Molecule: small nuclear RNA, 90 nt
Filed under: Sus scrofa (pig)
Lineage: Eukaryota; Metazoa; Chordata; Mammalia; Artiodactyla; Suidae
Also listed under: 1 other name
Source: RNAcentral
GUGAUUGCUUCAGCUGCACAUAUACUAAAAUUGGAAUGAUACAGAGGAGAUUAGCAUGACAGGCAAAUUUGUGAAGCAUUCUAUAGAUUU